RNAcentral lists this unclassified non-coding RNA (424 nucleotides) under fungal sp. RNAcentral's name for it is "partial internal transcribed spacer region". The stretch from base 1 to 46 matches the Rfam family "Eukaryotic small subunit ribosomal RNA", at positions 1786 to 1831 of the family's 1831-position model. The record is from RNAcentral. Lineage: Eukaryota; Fungi.
AAGUCGUAACAAGGUUUCCGUAGGUGAACCUGCGGAAGGAUCAUUAACACGUGAUACUCACGUAUUUAAAUUCACCGUGAAUUUGUUUUCUAACCUAUUGUUGAUUGUAAAUAGAUUAUAUAAGGGAAUACUAUUGACCGCCUUUCGAAAGAUUGUACGUCAUAACUUAUAUAGUCGUUCUUUGGUCCGCCCAGGAGUUUGCACCAAUAAAUAGAUGAUGAAUUACGACUGCUUAUUAAGCCUGUAGUAUAGCUUGCAGCUCGUAGUGAACUUAUUAACCCCUUUCUAUUAUUUAAUGAUUUGUAUGUUUAUAUGAAUUCCUGAUCUUCGGAUUGGUUGAGUUUAUGUAGAUGUCGUAUAUUACUAAUACGAAACAACUCUUAGCAACGGAUAUCUUGGUUCUCGUAACGAUGAAGAACGUAGC